Molecule: non-coding RNA, 119 nt
Organism: Ciona savignyi (Pacific transparent sea squirt)
Lineage: Eukaryota; Metazoa; Chordata; Ascidiacea; Phlebobranchia; Cionidae
Source: Rfam
GUUUAUCACCAAUCCAGAUUGAAUAUACCCGAUCUCGUCUGAUCUCGGAAGUCAAGCAAUCUCGGGCUUGGUUAGUACUUGGAUGGGUGACCGCUUGGGAAUACCAAGUGUGAUAAGCA